Molecule: ribosomal RNA, 161 nt
Filed under: Hordeum murinum subsp. leporinum
Lineage: Eukaryota; Viridiplantae; Streptophyta; Magnoliopsida; Poales; Poaceae
Description: 5.8S ribosomal RNA
Rfam family: 5.8S ribosomal RNA
About the family: 5.8S ribosomal RNA (5.8S rRNA) is a component of the large subunit of the eukaryotic ribosome. It is transcribed by RNA polymerase I as part of the 45S precursor that also contains 18S and 28S rRNA.
Source: RNAcentral
ACGACUCUCGGCAACGGAUAUCUCGGCUCUCGCAUCGAUGAAGAACGUAGCGAAAUGCGAUACCUGGUGUGAAUUGCAGAAUCCCGCGAACCAUCGAGUCUUUGAACGCAAGUUGCGCCCGAGGCCACUCGGCCGAGGGCACGCCUGCCUGGGCGCCACGC